This 118-nucleotide ribosomal RNA is filed under the name uncultured bacterium. RNAcentral's name for it is "partial 16S ribosomal RNA". It matches the Rfam family "Bacterial small subunit ribosomal RNA", at positions 1384 to 1500 of the family's 1533-position model. The record is from RNAcentral.
UACACACCGCCCGUCACACCAUGGGAGUCGAUAACGCCCGAAGUCAGUGACCCAACCUGUAAGGAGGGAGCUGCCGAAGGCGGGAUUGAUAACUGGGGUGAAGUCGUAACAAGGUAGC